Solenopsis invicta (red fire ant) is the source of this 6316-nucleotide RNA transcript. It is a transcript of the gene named adenylate cyclase type 10, with no coding region annotated. Lineage: Eukaryota; Metazoa; Arthropoda; Insecta; Hymenoptera; Formicidae. The record is from RefSeq and is a predicted model, not a curated record. The transcript has 30 exons.
UGUUGUUACAUUAUCAGUCCAAAACAUAUCUCUAAUUAUUAUUCAAUUAAUAGAUUAUAAUUCAAAUCGAUCUUCGCGUGUUCGUUUGGAGCAACAUACUAAAAUAUUCGCAUCUAUGUGUCCCGAUGAAAUCCUCGAUUUUUAUGAUAACUACGAAACCAGAGAAUAUCACACGACACUGCUGCUCGGUGACAUUUCAGGCUUCACAGACCUCACGGAAAAAUAUACGAAGACCGGCGUUGGCGGACCUUCCAAGCUGUCGGAAACAUUGAAUAGUUAUAUCGGCGCGAUGGUGCAAGAAAUUCUUUCGCAUAACGGAGAUGUCGUAAAAUUCUCCGGCGACGCAUUCAUAGUAAUGUGGAAGCUCCAAGAAGGGAUGUUUAUGCGUGAUAUCGCGGUGGAAGCGAUGCAAACCGCCUGUAUCAUACAAAAACAUUUUGGAACCUACAACACUGAUGUUGGUGUAACGCUCAGAGUAAAACUUGCAAUUGCUUCUGGAAUAACAUACUUCACGUCUAUUGGCAGUCCAGAAGGGAUGUCCUAUUAUGUCAUUACUGGAAAACCUGUCUGGGAUGCAAAGUUAGCCGAAGGAUUAUGCCGAGGUGGAGAUAUUCUCGUUGCUCCUAGUAGUUGGCAAUGGGCAAAUCCUAACGACUACGUUUAUGAGAAAUUGCCAGAUGGCGUGCAUACUCUGAUUAUAGCUUGCUCAGCAAUGUGGUAUCAUUCCAGACCUCUUAAUAUUCACAGUGACACUGAAAUCGAUAAGAGAAAUAAUAUUGAACAUGACGGGAACUACGUCGAUUUAUUGCAUGAUGCUAAAGCGCCAAAUAGUACAGCUAUAACGUUUUGGACUGCCGAUACUCAAAAUGGAAAUAAUUUCGAACAAGUCGACUACAGUCUGAGGCCCAAAAUCAUAAAGGUAGCUAAAGAGCUACUGAAGGAUUCAUUGAGAAGCUACAUGCUCAGACCUGUAAUACGAUCUAUCGAAAUGGAUGAACCGUUAGAGCAUCUUACAGAAAUGAGACAAGUAGUCAUCCUCUUCAUCAAUGUCAUUACGACGGUUAUGGAUAACAAAGAAUUGAUUUCGCUCGUUAGUGCAGCUUAUAAAUUAGUCUGUGGAGUAGUCUGCGAAAUGCACGGAUGCGUGAAUAAGACAUCUCUCUUCGACAAAGAUCUAAUAUUUCUAUGCAUAUUUGGAUUACGUGGUGACAAACACGUGCUGGAAUCGCAGAUUGGACUGAGAUGCGCCAGCAGAGUGCGGCAAGAUCUCUUAGAAAUGAGUAACGUAAAAUCUGUGACAAUCGCCGUUACUACCGGAAUGACAUAUUGUGGUGUAGUCGGUCAUAUCUUACGGAGGGAAUACACUGUAAUAGGAAUGUCGGUGAACAAGGCAGCGCGCUUAAUGGUCGCCUACAAUAACAAAGUAAUAUGCGAUCGUGAGAGCUUCCUGCGUUCUCGUCUCGAAGCGAGGCACUUUACAUUGCAGGAACCGAGACAUCUGAAAGGAAUCACAAACGUCGGUCCUGUCUACGAGUUUGAGGAACAGAUAAAUAAAUUCGACUCGCCUGAAUUAACGCGGAGAAAAUUUCCUUUACUCGGACGGGAAGCGGAAAUCAAGAUUUUUCGACAGAUGCUAUCAAAUCUGAUAACGCGUUUCAGUUCAAACAAUGCGACGCAGCAUUUACAAUCCGAGCACAACGUGUUGGUUAUAAAAGGUGAACCGAGAAUUGGCAAGACAAGAUUGUUGGAUGAAUUUGCACAGAAUAUUCCCAUAGGUGUAUCACGCAAUUAUAUCUCCUUGGUCAUGAGUGAUUCUAAGACUUCUUACAAUUUGAUCCAUAUGAUAUUCUCUGUGCCACUGGGCUUCAACAUCACCACAACACCAAGGGAGCGAGAAGAGAUACUGAUGUCUCAACUGGGCAACGUAGAUGCAUCAGAAUUUCUCUGCGCUCUUAAUCAACUCUUCAAUGUGCAUUUUAUGAUAAGCACGCCCUAUGCAGAACUAUCCGAAAAGCAAAAGCGCAAAGUAUUGCGUAAUUUUUUGCUUAAAUUAAUAAAAAACUGCUUCAGAGAACUGUGUGUGGUGAUCAUCGAUGACGUUCAAUACAGUGACAAUAAUUCAAUGAAAUUAUUUGGUACGAUAGCUAAGCAGAACACAAUUUUCUUCAUCCUCAGCUUUGGGCGUCAGCUCAACGGCGAAUACGAAAUACAUCCUAGAGUUUUAGAAAAAGCACAAAUAAUCGAAUUGGGUCGUAUAGACAAGUGGUAUCAUGCAGCGCUUGCAUGUCAGAUCCUUGAUGUAUGUGGAAUUCCUCCGGAACUCGAAAAAUUAAUCCAAGAAAAUAGUUUUGGCAAUCCGGGAUGGAUAGAAAGUUAUUUGUUAAGCCUCACGCAAUCUGGUAGCCUCGUAAUAAUCCAUAUCAGAGCAACGAUCGCCGAGGAAAUGGGCUACGUGCUUCCUCCCAUUUAUAUGCUGAAAAGAUUUGCUUCAGAAGACAUUUUUCUGAAUAACGGAAAUAAUGAAGAACGUUCGGACAAAUGGAAGAUGUACAAAACAAGUUAUCGAAACGGUCAGUUCGUAUCUUCGAUAAGGAUACAAAGCGCCAUCCACAAAUCGGGAAUGCCAAUUUAUAAUGAAGAAACUAUUGCCGUUUGUAAAUUUACGGAAGGCUUUACAUCAGAAGAGGCAGAUGCUGAAAUGACGAUGGAUGUAAUGAUCUUAAAGAUUUUCGAUUCUUUAACACCGUUGGAUCAAUUAUUAUUAAAAUGCGCGUCGGUUUUGGGAGAAAUUAUUAAUAGAAGCAUGCUGGAAUAUCUAAUGGACGACAAAUCUACGAGAGAAAUUGGACUAGCUGUCAAGAAACUCUUCGAGAUUCGAAUCUUUGGAUGCGCACAGGGCGAUUUUACUACGAGCGGCAGACCGCUAGUAUUUUACAGAAAUAUAAGAAAAUCUACUGUCGAAGAAGAAAUUGAGUGCGAAUGUGUGGAUCUUAUUAUACCAGAAGAGCUAUCUGACUUGCCGCAGUACGCGUCUUGUGGUCUGAUGCAUUUCAAAAUGUCGAUGUUUCGCGAAACUACUUACAGGUUGCUCACGGAAAAUCAAAAGAUGGAGUUACACAGUAAGGCGUUAAAAUAUCUUCGGCAACAUACCAAACGAUGUAUGGCUUGCGGUGAGAUACAAUUUAUAAGACUGUUGGGAAAAUCUGCCGCACAGGAUUCUAGAAAAACAUGGUUAACUAUCGACACCAACGAAAUGUAUCAACAAGAAGAAGCAACUUACACUUCCAAAGAAGAAAUAGAAAACGGUAUGCAAGAGGUGACAAAGAGAACACCGAUUUAUCUCAACAUCUUUCGAAAAGUCAGGAGACCUACUAAGACUUUUUUUAAUGUUGAUUUCGCCAACUGUCAAUGUCAUCUUAUCUUAAUGACCGUCUACUCUCAGAUGUUGGACCAUUGUCAAGGAAUAGGAAAACAAGAUAUAAUCUUGACGGCGAUUUUGGAAUUUGUGGAGAUUUGUUUAGCAAGUAACAACAUACCUCAAGCGCAUAGACUUCUGAGUGAUGCUGAAACUUUAGUGCAGCAAAUGUUUGAAAUCAACGAGGAGAAAUCAAUAUUGCUGUUUUAUCUUACCGCAAAAAUCCAAACGCUUCAAGGUAAAUGCCAUUGGGAAAAUGGUUUAAUUGUUGAAGCAAAUAAGAAUCUGAACGACGCAAUGAGCAGUUUAGGCUACAACUUUCCACAUCACAAAUUUACUAUUGACUUGAAGUUGGCAAUUCAACUCGAAAUACUAAAGUUGAGAUUGAUUUGUCCCAAGCGUUGGAAAAUCGACACCACCGAUGAACUAACUACGAAUUAUAUCGAGCAACUGGCUAAUUGCUUGGCGCAGAUGUUUAAUGUUUUCAGAGGGAUGAAGGCAAUGAAGAAACACGCGCGGUUAGCAGCCAUUUGGGGUUUAAAUGCUGCGCUGGAUGCAUCGAAUGAUUUCUUCAUUCUCUGCGCUUCGUUCACGAACAUGAUGCUCACUGCGCACGUUUAUCAAACCAAGUUACUUGUUCCUUAUUUGGAAAAAGAGGCUCUCAGCAUCUGCGCGAAGAAAGGAAGUUUACUCGAAUUCCAAGAGCUCAAGGCCAUUGCUGAGCUUUACGCGGCAGUAUUUUUCUCACGAUGGUUGAGAGGAGAGAUCGGCAAAGCGAUAAGAAUCGGUUUUAUUACAAUGAGGAUGGCGCAAACUUUGGACUCCAUGUUUCUCAAAUUGCUCAUACUACCGAGAUUAGCGCACUUGCUUAUGAUUUCGUGUCGACAUUCGGAAGCAGUGGCUAUGCUGAGAGAAUUGGAAUUUACAUCGCAACAUGUCUUGGAUAAAUCGAGUCGCACUUGGUAUUACGCUUUAUGCGCUGAUGUUCAACUCGACACAGGCCUCACAGUCCUUUCGUUUCAAAGUUGCGACAAAUAUUAUCUUAAGGAAGGUGAGACCAUAGUCAGUUUUCAUGAUCCAGAAGCAGAAAGACGAUAUUUCACCUCUAUGUGGUUAUGGUGCAUCAGAACGCAGCAGUGGGAAGCUACAAAAAUCUGGCGCAGUAGGAACGUGACGGCCGAGAGUGAGGUGGACGAGCAUAAAGUGGCAGCGACGAUUACCGCGUUGAAGAAACUUGAGGGACUGUUAAUUUUAUAUGUAAGGGAAGUUACUAACAGGAAUAUAAACGCAUUGAUCACACUAACAGAAAUUAAGCAUGAAUUCCAGCAUAUAAAAAGUAUGAUAAAGAUCGUAAAAAUUGCAAUUCCCAGAUAUAUGUUACUGAAAGCUUAUUAUUAUAUGAUACAGUCCAAAAAAAAUGCUGCAAUAAGAAUGUUACAAAAGACAAAAAAGUUAUGUUUAAAAGUCGACAACAGAAUGAUUUAUGCUUGGGCAAAUCAUUGUCAGCAGGUUUGGCUAGGUGCCAUAUCUUCCAUACAGGAGGACUUGUGGAAAGAAAAGACGAUUAGUAAAUAUGAUGAAUGGGAUGAAAUAAAUGCCAAUGAUUCAACGUUGAUUCCUUUUACACUUCCAUUACCGACUUAUGUACUGUAGAAUCUAUGUUAUUUACGUAAGAUGUGUGUAUACAAUAUAUCUACGUUAAUGUGUAUUAUGUAUAAUGUAUAAGUGACGUAAAAAAUUAUUAUUCUUUAAACAAAAGUUUUACAUGGCGUUGAAAAAAUAUCUCAUUUUUCGAUUAUCUAGGACUUUUUAUGAUACUCACAGGAAAUAGAUGUAAAUAUUUAAAUUCAAAUAUUUACAUCUAUUGUUCUUUAGUGCAAUACUAUGACGACAUAUAAUACAACAUUGACACUGAUCAACGAGCGGAUUAUUGUGCAAUGGAGCGCGAUGGUGUGAACCAUGCGACUGUGUGCGUUUCGUUAAUGAUAACACGCGCGCCGGAUAGCUAGAAGUGGUCACUGUUAAGUGAAUGGUGAUCGGUAUAAACAAGCCAAUGCUACAAGAGAGACCUACAUAUCUUUCCUCUGAAUUAACGAGAAGCAGGGACGUUUUAUUGCCUAGAUGCCUACAUCAAAGAUGCCCAACUACUCAGUCGAUACUAUUUGUAUCUACCAUAUAUUUUGGAAAUAACACUUUGUAUAACAAAUAUUUCGUAAUAUCUAUGUCAUAACUAUUUUUAUCUAAUGCUUCCUUUUGUAAUAUAAAUGUGUAAGUGGUACGUAUUAUUUACAUAACAAAUAUGUAAUAAUUAAAUGCCGAGAAUUUAAACUUUAGAACUAUAAUAUAAUAUAGACGUUAUUUAAAAAGUAGUUAUGUAAACUAUCGUUACUUAACAUCGUUACUUAAAAAAAAAAAAAUACAAAAAUAUAAUGUGACUACAAAAUUGCUGCAACUUUCACGUUAUAUAAAAUGUGAUAUUUAUAGCUAUCAUGUAGUGUGUAGUGAAAUCACAACUGUGUCGAUUGGAUCGUUUUUCCGACAGACCAGAUUUCAAAUUUUGAUCAUUGCCCGCGGGCCAAACUAACAUUUCUUAUAUAGAUUUCAGAGUCUAUCCUUUCUCGUUUGCUUUCUGUUUCGUUUCAUCUAAACGACAAAGAGAUAGAAAUGCUUUAAUACGCGAGUUUUGAACUAGCAAUAAAUAUGAAAAAAAUUUUGCGCAUUAUUACGAGGUUCUAUUGUACAAGUUUUAGACGCAAGUUUUAGACUUCGAAUUCUGUAGUCUCUUUUAUAUUUUAGAAUACAAACCCGAGCCGGAGAGAAAGAAACUGACAAGCUACGUGGGCCGGAUGUUGAGCAUUCGCGACCUAGAUCCGUAAAUUAGAGAUUCGAAACAAAAUAACA